CAGUCGCCGCGGUAAUACGAAGGGUGCAAGCGUUAAUCGGAAUUACUGGGCGUAGAGCGUGCGUAGGCGGUUUGUUAAGACAGAUGUGAAAUCCCCGGGCUCAACCUGGGAACUGCAUUUGUGACUGGCAAGCUAGAGUGUGGCAGAGGGGGGUGGAAUUCCGCGUGUAGCAGUGAAAUGCGUAGAUAUGCGGAGGAACACCGAUGGCGAAGGCAGCCCCCUGGGCCAACACUGACGCUCAUGCACGAAAGCGUGGGGAGCAAACAGGAUUAGAUACCCCGGUAGUCCCUGUCUCUUAUAC
This 301-nucleotide ribosomal RNA is filed under the name uncultured bacterium. RNAcentral's name for it is "partial 16S ribosomal RNA". It matches the Rfam family "Bacterial small subunit ribosomal RNA", at positions 509 to 807 of the family's 1533-position model. The record is from RNAcentral.